UUGGAGGGCAAGUCUGGUGCCAGCAGCCGCGGUAAUUCCAGCUCCAAUAGCGUAUAUUAAAGUUGCUGCAGUUAAAAAGCUCGUAGUUGAAUUUCGGGACCAAUAUGUCGGUCGUGCCUCGGUACGUACUGGCAUCGUUGGUUUCUCCCUUCUGAAGAACCAUGAUGUCAUUUAUUUGGUGUCGUGGGGAAUCAGGACUGUUACUUUGAAAAAAUUAGAGUGUUUAAAGCAGGCUCACGCUUGAAUACAUUAGCAUGGAAUAAUGAAAUAGGACGUUUGAUUCUAUUUUGUUGGUUUCUAGGAUCGACGUAAUGAUUAAUAGGGAUAGUUGGGGGCAUUAGUAUUCAAUUGUCAGAGGUGAAAUUCUUGGAUUUAUUGAAGACUAACUACUGCGAAAGCAUUUGCCAAGGAUGUUUUCAUUAAUCAAGAACGAAAGUUAGGGGAUCGAAGACGAUCAGAUACCGUCGUAGUCUUAACCAUAAACUAUGCCGACUAGGGAUCGGAUGAUGUUAAUUUUUUAAUGACUCAUUCGGCGCCUUACGGGAAACCAAAGUGUUUGGGUUC
RNAcentral lists this ribosomal RNA (564 nucleotides) under uncultured Glomeromycotina. Its description in RNAcentral is "SSU rRNA". It matches the Rfam family "Eukaryotic small subunit ribosomal RNA", at positions 548 to 1114 of the family's 1831-position model. The record is from RNAcentral. Lineage: Eukaryota; Fungi; Glomeromycota.